This 265-nucleotide long non-coding RNA is filed under the name Fukomys damarensis (Damara mole-rat). RNAcentral describes it as "lncRNA (ENSFDAG00000022569.1)". The record is from RNAcentral. Lineage: Eukaryota; Metazoa; Chordata; Mammalia; Rodentia; Bathyergidae.
CCUCCAGUGAUUCUAAGCCAACAUUCUGGUCUUGUAGAAGAGGGACUGAGGCCCAGUCUCUGAAUGGGAGCGACAUCAGGCUUCACAGACUGUCCAGCACGGGACUGAGACGUCAAAGGCCUCAGGCUUCUGAAUUUAUCUUGUGAUCUUUGAAACCAGCAACCUGAGAACAGAGCAGGGAGAGGAUGUGUCAGCCAUGGAUGCCAUGGUGGUAGGUACCAAGGAUCAAAGGAGUUGCUCUACUGGAAGCCAGCAUGGAUAGAAG